This 451-nucleotide ribosomal RNA is filed under the name uncultured bacterium. RNAcentral describes it as "partial 16S ribosomal RNA". It matches the Rfam family "Bacterial small subunit ribosomal RNA", at positions 354 to 796 of the family's 1533-position model. The record is from RNAcentral.
GUGGGGAAUAUUGGACAAUGGGGGGAACCCUGAUCCAGCCAUGCCGCGUGUGUGAAGAAGGCCUUUUGGUUGUAAAGCACUUUAAGCGAGGAGGAAGCUACCGAGAUUAAUACUCUUGGAUAGUGGACGUUACUCGCAGAAUAAGCACCGGCUAACUACGUGCCAGCAGCCGCGGUAAUACAGAGGGUGCAAGCGUUAAUCGGAUUUACUGGGCGUAAAGCGCGCGUAGGUGGCCAAUUAAGUCAAAUGUGAAAUCCCCGAGCUUAACUUGGGAAUUGCAUUCGAUACUGGUUGGCUAGAGUAUGGGAGAGGAUGGUAGAAUUCCAGGUGUAGCGGUGAAAUGCGUAGAGAUCUGGAGGAAUACCGAUGGCGAAGGCAGCCAUCUGGCCUAAUACUGACACUGAGGUGCGAAAGCAUGGGGAGCAAACAGGAUUAGAUACCCGAGUAGUCC